Molecule: ribosomal RNA, 383 nt
Filed under: uncultured eukaryote
Lineage: Eukaryota
Description: partial 18S ribosomal RNA
Rfam family: Eukaryotic small subunit ribosomal RNA
Source: RNAcentral
CAAUAGCGUAUAUUAAAGUUGUUGCAGUUAAAAAGCUCGUAGUUGGAUUUCUGGUGGGAGCGAUCGGUCUGGCGCUUAGCGCGAGUACUUGCAUCGUCUCCGGCCAUCCUUGGGGAGAGUCUGUCUGGCAUUAGGUUGUCGGGCAGAGGAUCCUCAUCGUUUACUGUGAAAAAAUUAGGGUGUUCAAAGCAGGCUUAUGCCGUUGAAUAUAUUAGCAUGGAAUAAUAAGAUAGGACUUUGGUACUAUUUUGUUGGUUUGCGCACCAAAGUAAUGAUUAAUAGGGACAGUUGGGGGUAUUCGUAUUCCGUUGUCAGAGGUGAAAUUCUUGGAUUUACGGAAGACGAACUACUGCGAAAGCAUUUACCAAGGAUGUUUUCAUUGA